This 468-nucleotide ribosomal RNA is filed under the name uncultured bacterium. Its description in RNAcentral is "partial 16S ribosomal RNA". It matches the Rfam family "Bacterial small subunit ribosomal RNA", at positions 28 to 507 of the family's 1533-position model. The record is from RNAcentral.
GACGAACGCUGGCAGCGUGCUUAACACAUGCAAGUCGAACGGUGAAGCUCCAGCUUGCUGGAGUGGAUCAGUGGCGAACGGGUGAGUAACACGUGAGCAACCUGCCCCUGACUCUGGAAUAAGCGCUGGAAACGGCGUCUAAUACUGGAUACGAGAAGGGUCCGCAUGGGCACUUUCUGGAAAGUUUUUCGGUUGGGGAUGGGCUCGCGGCCUAUCAGCUUGUUGGUGAGGUAAUGGCUCACCAAGGCGACGACGGGUAGCCGGCCUGAGAGGGCGACCGGCCAGACUGGGACUGAGACACGGCCCAGACUCCUACGGGAGGCAGCAGUGGGGAAUAUUGCACAAUGGGCGAAAGCCUGAUGCAGCGACGCCGCGUGAGGGAUGACGGCCUUCGGGUUGUAAACCUCUUUCAGCAGGGAAGAAGCGAAAGUGACGGUACCUGCAGAAGAAGCACCGGCUAACUACGUG